RNAcentral lists this ribosomal RNA (39 nucleotides) under Dothideomycetes sp. 1 GS-2016. RNAcentral describes it as "partial 18S ribosomal RNA". The record is from RNAcentral. Lineage: Eukaryota; Fungi; Ascomycota; Dothideomycetes.
GGGAUACGUCUCCGUAGGUGACCUGCGGAGGGAUCAUUA